UACGGAGGGGGCUAGCGUUGUUCGGAAAUACUGGGCGUAAAGCGCACGUAGGCGGCGCAGUAAGUCAGGGGUGAAAUCCCGGGGCUCAACCCCGGAACUGCCCUUGAAACUGCAGUGCUAGAAUUCUGGAGAGGCGAGUGGAAUUCCGAGUGUAGAGGUGAAAUUCGUAGAUAUUCGGAAGAACACCAGUGGCGAAGGCGACUCGCUGGACAGACAUUGACGCUGAGGUGCGAAAGCGUGGGGAGCAAACAGGAUUAGAUACCCCUGUAGU
RNAcentral lists this ribosomal RNA (271 nucleotides) under uncultured bacterium. RNAcentral's name for it is "partial 16S ribosomal RNA". It matches the Rfam family "Bacterial small subunit ribosomal RNA", at positions 524 to 794 of the family's 1533-position model. The record is from RNAcentral.